This 478-nucleotide ribosomal RNA is filed under the name uncultured bacterium. Its description in RNAcentral is "partial 16S ribosomal RNA". It matches the Rfam family "Bacterial small subunit ribosomal RNA", at positions 28 to 523 of the family's 1533-position model. The record is from RNAcentral.
GACGAACGCUGGCGGCGUGCUUAACACAUGCAAGUCGAACGGUAAGGCCCUUCGGGGUACACGAGUGGCGAACGGGUGAGUAACCCGUGGGUGAUCUGCCCUGCACUUCGGGAUAAGCCUGGGAAACUGGGUCUAAUACCGGAUAGGACCACUGCCUGCAUGGGUGGUGGUGGAAAGCUUUUGCGGUGUGGGAUGGGCCCGCGGCCUAUCAGCUUGUUGGUGGGGUGAUGGCCUACCAAGGCGACGACGGGUAGCCGGCCUGAGAGGGUGACCGGCCACACUGGGACUGAGAUACGGCCAAGACUCCUACGGGAGGCAGCAGUGGGGAAUAUUGCACAAUGGGCGCAAGCCUGAUGCAGCGACGCCGCGUGAGGGAUGACGGCCUUCGGGUUGUAAACCUCUUUCAGCACCGACGAAGCGCAAGUGACGGUAGGUGCAGAAGAAGGACCGGCCAACUACGUGCCAGCCGCCGCCGUAA